RNAcentral lists this ribosomal RNA (438 nucleotides) under uncultured bacterium. Its description in RNAcentral is "partial 16S ribosomal RNA". It matches the Rfam family "Bacterial small subunit ribosomal RNA", at positions 339 to 795 of the family's 1533-position model. The record is from RNAcentral.
CUACGGGGCGCUGCAGUGAGGAAUAUUGCACAAUGGGGGGAACCCUGAUGCAGCAACGCCGCGUGGAGGAUGACGCAUUUCGGUGUGUAAACUCCUUUUAUAUGUCAAGAAAAUGACGGUAGCAUAUGAAUAAGCACCGGCUAACUCCGGCCAGCAGCCGCGGUAAUACGGAGGGUGCAAGCGUUACUCGGAAUCACUGGGCGUAAAGGACGCGUAGGCGGGUUGGAAAGUCAGGUGUGAAAUCCUACAGCUUAACUGUAGAACUGCACUUGAAACUUCUAAUCUAGAGUAUGGGAGUGGGAGAUGGAAUUAGUGGUGUAGGGGUAAAAUCCGUAGAUAUCACUAGGAAUACCUAAAGCGAAGGCGAUCUCCUGGAACAUUACUGACGCUAAGGCGCGAAAGCGUGGGGAGCAAACAGGAUUAGAUACCCCCGUAGUC